Non-coding RNA from Chrysemys picta bellii (western painted turtle), 2907 nucleotides. Lineage: Eukaryota; Metazoa; Chordata; Testudines; Emydidae. The record is from RefSeq and is a predicted model, not a curated record.
GGCCAACUCUUUCUCUCUCUCAAUCAAUCUGUCCUUGCCUUUCCUUGUGCUGCGCUGGCAGAGGAAUUGUCUAGGAGUCCCAGCUGGAGCAGAAACUGGCAGUUUGUAAGAAAAGGUUCCUGACUAGCUGUGGUUACGAGGGAGACAAGGUCCACAAUUUCAGGGGCUGCUUGGAUAUCCUUCUAAGGAGACAUGAACACUCCUCAGCUUUCUGAAUUCUGAAUAACUGGCUGUGAGUAAGAGUACCAAGGAAAAAGAAGUCACACGUCAGAGUCUACUGCCCUCAUGCGAUGGAAAGUGAGUGAGAGCAGCGAGCCUGUGAGCAUUGUUCAUGCCAGGCAAGAGCCGUCCAUCUGGGAGCCGAGCAGACACCACUGUUACUGAGAUAAGUGUCCGGUUUCCUGAGGGUUCUGCUCACGGCCCAUCUGACUCCAGGUAGGGACACCCCAUCAGCUGGGGCUGGGUUUGUAAGAAAAGGUUCCUGACUAGCUGUGGUUUUGAGGGAGACAAGGUCCCCGGAUCGGUGUGUCCUCCGCAGGAGAAGGUUAAAUCCAUGAGGAUGACUCCAGGUGGUGAGUUGCUUGCCUUCCUCCUGUGUUUCUCUCUCUCUUCUCUACUGUGUUGGACAACACACACUCUCUCUCUCUGUCCUUUCCUUUUCUUGUCCUGUGUCCCUUCAUAGCAGGCGUGCUAGGUGUGCAUCCCCACAGGCUCGGUCUUGGGAGUUAUGAAGAAGUAGGAGGGGAUGAAAAUCAUGUGGGGUAGCGAGAGUGGAGUGGAGACUGUCGGUGUUGACUCGGUCUCUGUUCAUCGAGUGGGGCUGAUGUAGAUGGAAUGGGAGAGGGAGGCAGGGAUGAGGGCAAGAUUUCAUGCACCUUCAGAGCUUUGUGUAUUACUGGCUUAUGCAUGGCUUUUGCAGCUGCGCUGGCAGAGGAAUUGUCCAGGAACCCUACCCAGAGGAGAGAUCUCAGAAGCGGACCUGAUCAGCCUGAACAUCCUUCUAAGCAGACAUGAACAGUCCUCAGCUUUUUCCCUCCUGUAUAACUGGCUGUGAGUAAACGUACCAAGGAAAAAGAAGUCAUUCGUCAGUCUACUGCCCUCAAACAAUGGAAAGCGAGCGAGAGCAACGAGACUGCGAGCGUUGUUGAUGCGAUGCAAAAGCCGUCCAUCUGGGAGCGGAAUAGCCACUGCUGUCAGUGAGAUAAGUGUCUGGUUUGGUGAUUGCUCUGCUCACGGCCCACCUGGCUCCAGGUAGGGAUGCCCAAUUAUCUAGGGCUGGGUUUGUAAGAAAAGGUUUCUCAUUAGCUGUGGUUACUAGGGAGACAAGGUCCCCAUUUCAAGGGGUUGCUCAUUAUUCUGUGUCCUCUGCAGCAGACGGUUGGAUCCAGGAGGAUGACACCAGGUGAGUUGCUUGCCUUCCUUCCAUGUUUCUCUCUCUCUUCUCUACUGUGUUGGCCAACACAUUCACACUCUCUCUCUCUGUUCUUCACUUUUCUUGUGCUGUCUCCCUUCGUAGGACACGGGCAGGCGUGUUAGGUGUGCAUCCUCACAGGCUAUGUCUCGGGCACCAUGAAGAAGUAGGAGGGGAUGAAAAUCAUGCAGGGCUGUGGGUGUGAGAGUGGAGGCAGGUAUUGGAAGAUUUUGUGCACCUAUAGUGUUUUUGGCAGUGAUGGCUGUUCUAUGGGUUAUUUGCUGUUCUUGCAGAGGCCUGCUCCAGGCCAGUGGAGCAGCACCAGACAGAUGAGGAGCAUCUGGAGGAAGUGGACCUGCUCAAUCUAGAUGUUUCACCUGGCAGUGGAGCUUAAGAGCCCUCUCGUGAUUUUGGAGGAGCAGGUGUGUGUGUUUGUGAAAUAUUUCUCUAUCCAGUAUCUGCAUAGUGAGGUGCCUCCUUGAGAGCAGAGAGAUACUUCUCAUUUCUAUAGGAUGGGUCCUGGGGAAGUUAGAGCUCUGCCUGUGGCUGGUAGUGGUCUGGGAUUGUCCCUUUCCUGGAGGGUUGUAGCUCCUUAGGAGUGAACAGCCUUCUAAGCAGACAUGAACAGUCCUCAGCUUUCUGCCUCCUGCAUAACUGGCUGUGAGUAAGCGGUCAGUGCUUGGGAUUCCUCAUCUGUAUUCGCUGUAAUUUUCUUCACAGGCCGUUUGCUUCCUUGCUGGGUACGGGGUUCUGUGGGAUUAAGGCUGGGGAAGGGACCAGAGUCACAGUUGCCAACUUUCACUGGGUAAAUAUGCACCCCGACUUUCAUAAUAAGCCAAAAAACAAGCUAAUCCCAUUUCAAAACAAGGCCAAAAAAAGCCAAUUCCUAAGAACCCCAACACUGUAUAUGACUAGAUCUCUCCUGUCGUGCAGUCUGGGACUGUGGUGGGCCUGCUGUGCACCCGAUGCUCUCCCCGCUUUGCCCCUCCUUGCCGGAAGCAACAAGCUACAACAAGCAAUAAGCUACAAGCCAAACACAAGCCUAAUUUCAAAGUUUUUUUCCCCCACAGGCUAUAUCUCGGGCGCCAUGAAGAAGUAAGAGGGGAUGAAAAUCAUGCAGGGCAGUGGGUGCGAGAGUGGAGUGGUGGCUGUCGGUGUUUACGUGGUCUCUUUUCAUCAAGUGGGGCCUAUGAAGAUGGGAUGGAAGAGAGAGGCAGGGAUGAGGCCAAGAUUUCAAGCACUACUAGCGCUUUGUGUCGUGAUUGUUGAUACUUGGUUUUCGCAGCUGCUCUCAAAGAGAAAUUGUCCAGGAGCCCUAUCCCGAGGAGCAAGUGGACCCGAGCAGCUUAGACAUCCUUCUAAGCAGACAUGGCCGGUUUUGUUCAAUAUCUUCAUUAAUGAUCUGGAGGAUAGGGUGGACUGCACUCUCAGCAAGUUUGCAGAUGACACCAAACUGGGAGGAGUGGUAGAUAUGCUGGAGGGUAGGGAUAGGAUAG